UACGGAGGAUCCGAGCGUUAUCCGGAUUUAUUGGGUUUAAAGGGAGCGUAGGCGGGUUGUUAAGUCAGUUGUGAAAGUUUGCGGCUCAACCGUAAAAUUGCAGUUGAUACUGGCGACCUUGAGUGCAACAGAGGUAGGCGGAAUUCGUGGUGUAGCGGUGAAAUGCUUAGAUAUCACGAAGAACUCCGAUUGCGAAGGCUGCUUACUGGAUUGUAACUGACGCUGAUGCUCGAAAGUGUGGGUAUCAAACAGG
Molecule: ribosomal RNA, 253 nt
Filed under: Bacteroides stercoris ATCC 43183
Lineage: Bacteria; Pseudomonadati; Bacteroidota; Bacteroidia; Bacteroidales; Bacteroidaceae
Description: partial 16S ribosomal RNA
Rfam family: Bacterial small subunit ribosomal RNA
Source: RNAcentral